This is a long non-coding RNA of Olea europaea var. sylvestris, 284 nucleotides long. RefSeq lists it as uncharacterized. The record is from RefSeq and is a predicted model, not a curated record. NCBI's taxonomy places the organism in Eukaryota, Viridiplantae, Streptophyta, Magnoliopsida, Lamiales, Oleaceae. The transcript is spliced from 3 exons.
GUGGGCAUAUGAGGCUAUCCCUGCUUUGGGUAGCAAAUGGGCGAUCAGAAGGGAGACUAGCUGCCCACGAAUGCUUCAUUGGCGAGCACAUGAAAAGCCAUCGGCUAAAGAUUUGAUAGUUAUCCUCGACGAUCCUCAGCUCGAAGUUCAUGCUGAGUUGGUUGUCUCGGUGGAAGAGGAGGAUGCAAUAUAUGUACGUGAAUUACUUGUUCCCCCUACUGAAGACGAUCCAGUAUUUGAGUCCGUUCCGGAUAGAAAUAUAGAGCGCCAUCCGGAACUUCCAC